Non-coding RNA from Electrophorus electricus (electric eel), 4603 nucleotides. Lineage: Eukaryota; Metazoa; Chordata; Actinopteri; Gymnotiformes; Gymnotidae. The record is from RefSeq and is a predicted model, not a curated record.
UCUCAGAAAAAACGAUAUCACCCUCUACCUUCGUUGCCUGCCAGGAUACGGAACCGCAUACACAGAAGUACGACGGAGAAUGAGGACGUAUGCAAAAAUAGCGUAACUCUCUUUAACAUCGCAACAUCAGUGCGGUGAUUUGGAAAGGGCUCAGAUCUUCUUCGAAAGAGUGAACGCUCUUUCAUUCGCUUUCAUUUGAAGAAGGAGCGAUCGAGUGUCUGGCGAGGAUGGGGAACCGCGGGAUGGAGGAUUUGAUUCCUCUGGUAAAUCGAAUGCAAGAUGCCUUUGCGGCCAUCGGACAAAAUGCCAACUUGGACCUUCCACAGAUUGCUGUCGUCGGCGGCCAGAGCGCAGGGAAGAGCUCCGUACUGGAGAACUUUGUAGGAAAGGAUUUCCUUCCCCGUGGUUCCGGGAUCGUCACCCGCCGUCCCCUGGUCCUGCAGCUCAUCAAUUGCCCCUCAGAAUAUGCUGAAUUCUUGCACUGCAAGGGGAAGAAGUUCACGGACUUCGAUGAGGUGCGUCAAGAGAUCGAGGCCGAGACAGAUCGCAUCACGGGCCAAAACAAAGGCAUCUCUCCUGUUCCCAUUAACCUGCGUGUCUACUCUCCUAACGUGCUGAACCUGACUCUGGUGGACCUUCCCGGGAUGACCAAGGUGCCGGUGGGUGACCAGCCAGCGGACAUUGAGCACCAGAUCAAAGACAUGCUUAUGCAGUUUGUGACCAAGGACAACUGCCUGCUUCUGGCCGUGUCUCCUGCCAACUCUGAUCUCGCCAACUCCGACGCCCUCAAGGUCGCCAAGGAGGUCGACCCUCAGGGUCUACGCACCAUUGGUGUAAUUACUAAACUGGAUUUAAUGGAUGAAGGCACAGAUGCCCGAGACAUUCUGGAGAACAAGCUGCUCCCUCUCCGCAGAGGCUACAUUGGUGUGGUGAACCGCAGUCAGAAGGACAUUGAUGGAAAGAAGGACAUCACCGCUGCUAUGGCGGCAGAGAGGAAGUUCUUCCUGUCUCAUCCUGCGUACAGACACCUGGCAGACCGAAUGGGAACCCCUUACCUGCAGAAGGUGCUGAACCAGCAACUGACAAACCACAUCCGAGACACACUGCCAGGCCUGCGCAGCAAGCUGCAGCAUCAGCUGCUGUCCAUUGAGAAGGAAGUGGAAGAAUACAAGAACUUCCGUCCUGAUGACCCGUCACGCAAGACCAAGGCGCUGUUGCAGAUGGUGCAGCAGUUCUCCGUGGACUUUGAGAAGCGCAUUGAGGGCUCCGGUGACCAGAUCGACACCUACGAGCUAUCAGGAGGAGCCAGAAUCAACCGCAUCUUCCACGAGCGCUUUCCCUUCGAGCUGGUCAAGAUGGAGUUUGAUGAAAAGGAGUUACGCAAGGAGAUCAGCUACGCCAUCAAGAACAUUCAUGGCAUCAGAACCGGGCUCUUCACACCGGACAUGGCCUUUGAGACCAUUGUGAAAAGGCAGAUCACGAAGAUUAAAGUGCCGUGCCAGAAAUGUGUGGACAUGGUCAUUUCUGAGCUGGUCAAUACGGUUAGGCAGUGUACCAAGAAGCUAGCCCAGUACCCCAUGUUGCGAGAAGAGAUGGAAAGAAUUGUCACACAGCACAUCCGUGACCGAGAAAGUCGCACCAAGGAGCAGGUGUUGCUGCUUAUUGAUAUUGAGCUGGCCUACAUGAAUACCAACCAUGAGGACUUCAUUGGAUUUGCCAAUGCCCAGCAGAGAAGCAGCCAGAUGAGCAAGAAGAAAGCACCUGGCAACCAGGAUGAGAUCAUGGUCAUCAGGAAGGGAUGGCUGACAAUCAACAACAUUGGCAUAAUGAAAGGCGGAGCCAAAGAGUACUGGUUUGUGCUGACGGCCGAAUCACUGUCCUGGUACAAGGAUGAUGAGGAGAAAGAGAAGAAGUACAUGUUGCAGGUGGACAAUCUGAAGCUGAGGGAUGUGGAGAAGAGCUUCAUGUCCAGCAAGCACAUCUUUGCCCUGUUCAACACAGAGCAGAGGAAUGUGUAUAAGGACUACCGUCAGCUGGAGUUGGCAUGUGAGAGUCAGGAGGAGGUGGAUGGUUGGAAGGCAUCUUUCCUGCGCGCGGGUGUCUACCCAGAGCGUGUGGUGGAGAAGGAGAAGGGUGAAGCAAGCGAGGAGAGCAGCUCAGAUGGCUUCAUGCACUCCAUGGACCCACAGCUGGAGAGGCAGGUGGAGACGAUCCGCAACCUAGUGGACUCCUACAUGGCCAUCGUCAACAAGACAAUCCGCGACCUCAUGCCCAAGACCAUCAUGCACCUGAUGAUCAACAACACUAAAGAGUUCAUCAACGCAGAGCUGCUGGCCCAGCUGUACUCCUGCGGGGACCAGAACACCCUGAUGGAGGAGUCGGCGGAGCAGGCCCAGCGCAGGGACGAGAUGCUGCGCAUGUACCACGCGCUCAGGGAGGCGCUCCACAUCAUCGGGGACAUCAGCACCUCCACCAUCUCCACCUCCCUGCCUCCACCUGUGGAUGACUCGUGGCUGCAAGUGCAGCGCACUGGCUCAGGGGGAAGGUCUCCGGCCGCCAGUCCCACUCCCCAGAGGCGGGCACCUCCUCCAGGACCCCCGGUUCGCCCUGCCUCCCGUGGGUCCGCGCCAGGACCACCAGGGGCAGGCGGGCCACCUGUGCCCUCUCGCCCUGGGGCCUCCCCAGACCCAUAUGGAGGACAGCCCCCUCAGGUGCCCUCCCGGCCUAACCGUGCCCCGCCCAGUGUACCCAGCCGAGGCGUGUGACACACCUGAAAGCGGAGCCAUGGGGAAUUGCUAUCAGUGACCAGUGAGGAGUGGCACUUGUGUGGUCCUUGAAGUCACAGGCCAGCAGACGACACCUGGCCUGAAUGCCGGCCUCACAAGGGCAGCCUGCCGUGUCCCGAGAGUCCUCUUCCUCCGUCUGACUCUUAAGCAGCCCGUCACAUCUUUUCACUUCUCUUCCUCUUUCUCUUCCAACUCCCUCCACAUUCACCAUCCAGUAACCAUAAACCAGAUCUCACCGGCGCAAUUGAACUUUGACACGCACACAUGCAGGGGCGAGCCAGUGGGUUGGGAGAGAGAUGCAGAGAUGGAAUCCUCUCCAGAUGCUGCCUCUCUUCCCCUCUAUACCCAUUUGAUGAUCUUCUGCGUUCUUCACAGUGGAAAAAAGAAGGAAUGUAAGCAGCAUGUUCUGGCAGAUGUAGACUGUUGGUUUUGCGGUUUUUCUCUUUUUGGUCUGCACCCAGACCCUCUGGGCUGCGCUAAUGGUCGACAGUUGUGCGUCACCAUCUGCUAAACAGUUUAGAUGAAUCAUCGUCUGAUCCUCUGAUACAAAUACAAGUGUCCACAUCUUACAAUAGUUAGAGCCUCUUCUCCUUACCUUACCAUGCAGCUAAACCCCUUUGUGGAGCUUUUGCUAGGAGUAUACGUUUGUUCUUCUGAUGUUCCUCAGAAGUCCCACCUUUCCAAGUAGCAAAAUAAUAUCUUCAGUGAGGCUGGAAUUAUAUAGGAAGUGCAAUAUAGCCAGGGGUCAGCUCUUUCAGUGGCUGGGCACCUUUCACCCCACACAACACACGACAGACCCGACAUCUCCGAAAGCAAAGGCAUGACCUUGCGCUUUUCUUUGGUUAAAUGUUGUUCUUCCUAAAUUUGUUUCGAUUGUGCAAGGCAGGAAUACAGGAAGACAGGGCUGAGGACCGCAGAAGCUCACCGUAGCCAUGUCUCUUAGCUACACCUAUUCUCUCUGUUCUAAAGUCAUAGGGAUGUGAAGCAGUUAGCAUCUAUCACAGAUGUUUUACCUACUCAGUCUUGUAUGAACAUCAUUUAUGCAAACUUAUCCCAAGUCAAAUUGUGCUUGUUUGUAAUUAAUAAGUGAAUCAGGUUUUAACAAGUGCAUCCAUUAAAAAAUAAAAUAAAUAAAUAAAAUUUAAUAUAUAUAUAUAUAUAUAUAUAUAUAUAUAUAUAUAUAUCUCACUGCUGGUCUAUGCAUACACAUCAUGGUCAUUUGGUCUAACUUGUUCUGUUUUUGUUGAUAAUACCAGCUGUGAAUAAAUCAGUGUGUGUAGUGAUUGUUGUAUUCAGUGGGCAUGCUUACAACCCCUGCGCCAUAGCCAGGCAAUGGUAACAUUUCUCCUUGGUUUCCUACAGACACAGGAUCUUUCACCUUUCACCUUUUCCUUAAGCAUAGUCUCUCAGUAAACGUGGUUAUGAAAAAAAAAAAUCUUAUUUAAGAGUAAACAGCUUAUGGACAUAACGUUAAAUGUGUUAUCUUUGUGGUGCUUUUCUGGAAGUUUGCUUCCACUAUCUAGAAAUUAGUUUACUCCACCUGUAGGAUUACAGAAUAUUAAAUUACAAGUGAAGAAAUUAAAUUAUGUGCAUGGGAGAAAGCAGUGCAUUACUGAGAGAGGGGAAGACGUUCUUGCUGUCAGUUCUUAAAUGUAUUCAGUGCGUGUGAUGUGUAGCAUGUACACACACACAAUUCAAGACUUUGUUUUGUGAGGAGGAAUGUGACUCAGUACAACCUGUAGCUUCUCCCACUCAGUGCAUGAGUCAGUUCUAACAACACUGACUUGUUCAGGACAAUAAAAUUCAGUGUACCAAAA